RNAcentral lists this ribosomal RNA (255 nucleotides) under uncultured bacterium. RNAcentral's name for it is "partial 16S ribosomal RNA". It matches the Rfam family "Bacterial small subunit ribosomal RNA", at positions 332 to 584 of the family's 1533-position model. The record is from RNAcentral.
ACGAGCCUACGGGGCGCAGCAGUGAGGAAUAUUGGUCAAUGGGCGCAAGCCUGAACCAGCCAAGUCGCGUGAGGGAUGACGGUCCUAUGGAUUGUAAACCUCUUUUGUCGGGGAGCAAGGCCCGCCACGUGUGGCGGGAAGGAGAGUACCCGAAGAAAAAGCAUCGGCUAACUCCGUGCCCGCAGCCGCGGUAAUACGGAGGAUGCGAGCGUUAUCCGGAUUUAUUGGGGUUUAAGGGUGCGGAGGCGGAAGGUU